UACGAGGGGGUGCAAGCGUUGCUCGGAAUUAUUGGGCGUAAAGGGUAGGUAGGUGGUCUCAUUUGUCUGGGGUGAAAGCCUUGAGCUUAACUCAAGAAGUGCCUCAGAAACGGUGAGACUGGAGUCCUGGAGAGGGUCGUGGAAUUCCCGGUGUAGCGGUGAAAUGCGUAGAGAUCGGGAGGAACACCAGAGGCGAAGGCGGCGACCUGGACAGGUACUGACACUCAACUACGAAAGCGUGGGGAGCAAACAGGG
RNAcentral lists this ribosomal RNA (255 nucleotides) under uncultured bacterium. RNAcentral describes it as "partial 16S ribosomal RNA". It matches the Rfam family "Bacterial small subunit ribosomal RNA", at positions 524 to 777 of the family's 1533-position model. The record is from RNAcentral.